This is an RNA transcript of Beta vulgaris subsp. vulgaris (sugar beet), 2751 nucleotides long. It is a transcript of the gene named chromatin assembly factor 1 subunit FAS2, with no coding region annotated. The record is from RefSeq and is a predicted model, not a curated record. The transcript has 14 exons. Lineage: Eukaryota; Viridiplantae; Streptophyta; Magnoliopsida; Caryophyllales; Amaranthaceae.
GGGGUAAGUAAAGUAAUAAAUGAGUUGCCAUUUACCAACCUAUUAGUAGGGAGGGGAGAAGAGAAUUUAUAUCGCUACGUGCUUGAUCCAAAGCGGACAAUAUCUGAAUAAAAUUCGCUCGAAAUUCCCGCCAAAAAAUAAAAAGGCGCCAAACGCUCUUACUCUUCUUCCUUUCUCUUCCAGUUCUAGAUAGAGAGAACUACAGAAAGGAAAAAAAAAAAAAAACUCCCGCAAUAAUCUUCCACAACCCUAAUUUGCUCGAUUUGAAAUCUACUGUUCUUGCUAAUUUCACCUGAUUUCUGGAAAAUUUCAGGUAAUCAAUGAAAGGAGGAACAGUUCAGAUCAAUUGGCACGACACUAAGCCUGUUCUAACCCUAGAUUUUCACCCCAUUUCUGGUCUUUUAGCCACCGGUGGUGCUGAUUUCGAUAUCAAGAUUUGGCAAGUAGACUCUGGCGAGGCAGAAAAGAAAAUUCCAACAGCUUCAUAUCGAUCGAGUCUUUCGUAUCAUAGUUCAGCAGUGAAUGUUCUUCGGUUUUCGCCUUCAGGAGAGCUCCUUGCUUCAGGUGCAGAUGGAGGUGAACUUAUAUUAUGGAAAUCUCACGUGACAGAUGCCGGUCAAGUUUGGAAAGUCCUCAAGACGCUAUCAUUUCACAGAAAGGAUGUGCUGGAUCUGCAGUGGUCCAGAAAUGGAGCUUAUAUCUUCUCUGGAUCUGUUGAUAAUUCUUGCAUCAUAUGGGAUGCUGACAAAGGUUCUGUCCAUCAGAUCUUGGAUGCACAUCUCCACUAUGUUCAGGGAGUGGCGUGGGAUCCCUUGUCUAAAUAUGUUGCAUCUCUUAGCUCCGAUAGAACUUGCAGAAUUUAUGUUAACAAGCCUCAAAAAGUAAAGGGAACAGAGAAAAUAAAUUAUGCUUGUCAGCAUGUGAUCGUGAAGGCAGAGCAGCAAUCUACAGAUGAUAGCAAGUGCUUGAAGAAUCAUCUAUUUCACGAUGAGACUUUGCCAUCUUUCUUCCGCAGAUUAGCUUGGUCACCUGAUGGCUCAUUUUUAGUGGUACCUGCUGGUAUAUACAAAUGUUCACCUGAGUCUGAAUCUAUCAACACUGCUUAUAUAUUCUCCAGAAAAGAUCUUUCAAGGCCCACUCUGCAGCUUCCUGGUGCCAAUAAGCCUGUGGUGGCAGUCCAUUUCUGUCCUUUGGCCUUUAGCCUUCGUGGAUCAAACUCAGCUGGACUCUUCAAGCUUCCAUAUCGGCUUAUUUUUGCUGUGGCAACUCUAAAUUCAUUGUACAUUUAUGACACGGAAAGUGUUGCUCCUCUGGCAAUUUUGGCUGGUCUCCAUUAUGCAGCCAUAACAGAUAUUGCAUGGUCGCCAGAUGGCAAGUAUCUAGCAUUAUCAUCACAAGAUGGAUACUGCACAUUGGUAGAAUUUCAAAGUGAUGAACUGGGAUCACCUAUCCCUUUUCCAGACGGAAAGCCAGUCAUUAGUCAUGUUGGUGAGAUUCCUAGUCAACAGAAGCCAGAGGAGGAAAUGGUGGUCAAAGCAUCCGUAAAAGGCAGCCCAAUUUUAGAAAAUAAGCAAAAUGAUGACAAACAAGCAGUGCCUGUGGCAACAAGCACUCCUGUUGCUAAAAAUCCAGUGGUGACAAACACUCCUGUCACUAAAAAUCCAGUGGCGGCAAGCACUCCGGUCGCUAAAAAUCCAGUGGCGACAAGCAUUCCUGUCUCUAACAAGCCAGCUAAGAGGCGUAUUACUCCUAUGGCAAUCGAUCCUUGACCUUCACCGAUAUCUUUGUAAAUUUCACGCUGAAGUCAUCUUUCUGCUUCUGAUGUAAGAGAUAAGGAGUGUCCUGAUUCUCCACGUGAUUGAUUCGGAGUUUAUAAAAUUCCACAAUGUCAAAUGGUGUGCAGACUGCAGUACUACAGUUAGAAGAUUACUAUGGCACUGAUCGUAUUAGCAUCUUUAAUAACAAUGCAGCUGAAAGGAAUGCUAGAAAGAAAAGGCCUCCAAGGGACACGAAAACAAUAAUGAUGGUACCGUGGUGCCCAGGAGCAGGAGGUGGUGGCAGUGGAGGGGUGGGGGUGAUGUGAGGAGGUGGUGGUGGAAGUUUUGGUGGCAGUGGUGGUGGUUUUACUGCUGGAGCUGGCGGAGGCAAAGGAUGCGGAGGUGGUCUUGGUGGAGGAUUUGAGGGCUUUGGUGGAGGGAGAGAAUGUGGAGGUGGUUUUGGUUUUGGUGCUGGAGGAGGGUUUGAGGGCUUUGUUGGUGAUGGAGGUGGUUUAGGUUUUGGUGCUGGUGGAGGGUUAGAGGGCUUUGCUGGUGAUGGAGGUGGUUUAGGUUUCGGCGAUGGUGGAGGGUUAGAGGGCUUUGCUGGUGAUGGAGGUGGUUUAGGUUUCGGUGCCGGUGGAGGGUUAGAGGGCUUUGCUGGUGAUGGAGGUGGUUUAGGUUUCGGCGAUGGUGGAGGGUUCAACGGCUUUAUUGGUGAUGGUGGGGUUGGUUUUGGUGGAGAAAUGGGAUGAAAAGGAGGUGGUAGGUAUGGUGGAGAAAUGGGAUGAAAGGGAGGUGGUAGUUUCGGUGGGAAUAGGUAACUAUGUGGUGGCGGGAAAGGGAAAAAUGGAUAGUUAAAAUUUUGAGGUUGAGCCAUAGAAGUUGAUUGUUAUUUGGGAAAUUAGAGUAUUAAAUGAUAGUUCUUAGCACUUAGCAGAUGUUGUGUUUCGACUCUAUACAUUAUACGCAUUUAUAUAAACCCCAAUUUCAUUGA